Molecule: ribosomal RNA, 460 nt
Filed under: uncultured bacterium
Lineage: Bacteria
Description: partial 16S ribosomal RNA
Rfam family: Bacterial small subunit ribosomal RNA
Source: RNAcentral
CCUACGGGAGGCAGCAGUGAGGAAUAUUGGUCAAUGGACGCAAGUCUGAACCAGCCAUGCCGCGUGCAGGAAGACGGCUCUAUGAGUUGUAAACUGCUUUUGUACGAGGGUCAACUCAGAUCCGUGUAUCUUUCUGAAAGUAUCGUACGACUAAGGAUCGGCUAACUCCGUGCCAGCAGCCGCGGUACUACGUAUGAUUCAAUCGUUAUCCGGAUUUAUUUGGUUUAAAGGGUGCGUCGGCGGUCGGAUAAGUUAGAGGUGCAAUCCCGAGGCUCAACGUCGGAAUUGCCUCUGAUACUGGUAGGCUAGAGAGUAGUUGCGGUAGGCGGAAUGUAUGGUGUAGCGGUGAAAUGAUUAGAGAUCAUACAGAACACCGAUUGCGAAGGCAGCUUAACAAGCUACGUCUGACGUUGAGGCACGAAAGCGUGGGGAGCAAACAGGAUUAGAGACCCGAGUAGUC